Podarcis lilfordi (Lilford's wall lizard) is the source of this 73-nucleotide non-coding RNA. Lineage: Eukaryota; Metazoa; Chordata; Lepidosauria; Squamata; Lacertidae. The record is from the annotation of a GenBank genome assembly.
GUUGAGAUAGCUUAGUUGGUAGAGUAUGUGACUCUUAAUCUCAGGGUUGUGGGUUCGAGCCUAAUGUUGGGCA